This is a small nucleolar RNA of Leishmania major strain Friedlin, 67 nucleotides long. It matches the Rfam family "Trypanosomatid snoRNA TB9Cs3H1". Lineage: Eukaryota; Euglenozoa; Kinetoplastea; Trypanosomatida; Trypanosomatidae. The record is from Rfam.
AGCAGAAUUAAACACGGAUCUGUGGGACGUACUUCAGUGCUGGUGAGAUCCGCCUGUGUUUUGCAAG